Molecule: transfer RNA, 85 nt
Filed under: Venturia inaequalis
Lineage: Eukaryota; Fungi; Ascomycota; Dothideomycetes; Venturiales; Venturiaceae
Rfam family: tRNA
About the family: Transfer RNA (tRNA) molecules are approximately 80 nucleotides in length. Their secondary structure includes four short double-helical elements and three loops (D, anti-codon, and T loops).
Source: Rfam by way of RNAcentral
UCCCCCGUGGCGCAAUUGGCUAGCGCGUUCGACUGUUAUACGGCAGACUAUCGAGAGGUUGGUGGUUCAAGCCCACCCGGGGGAG